UACGUAGGGUCCGAGCGUUGUCCGGAAUUAUUGGGCGUAAAGGGCUCGUAGGCGGUCCGUCGCGUCGGGAGUGAAAACUCGGGGCUUAACCCCGAGCCUGCAGUGGAUACGGGCAGACUAGAGGUAGGUAGGGGAGAAUGGAAUUCCCGGUGUAGCGGUGAAAUGCGCAGAUAUCGGGAGGAACACCGGUGGCGAAGGCGGUUCUCUGGGCCUUACCUGACGCUGAGGAGCGAAAGCGUGGGGAGCGAACAGG
RNAcentral lists this ribosomal RNA (253 nucleotides) under uncultured bacterium. RNAcentral describes it as "partial 16S ribosomal RNA". It matches the Rfam family "Bacterial small subunit ribosomal RNA", at positions 524 to 776 of the family's 1533-position model. The record is from RNAcentral.